AUCCAUGGGCCAAGGCCAGGGGUGUGAGGUUCAACAAGGCCAGUGCUGGCUCCUGCCCUGGGGUCACAGCAACCCCAGGCAGUGGCACAGGCUGGGGCAGAGUGGCUGCAAAGCUGCCACAGGAAAAGGAGCUGGGGGUGCUGCUGACAGCAGCUGAACAUGAGCCAGCAGGGCCCAGGUGGCCAAGAAGGCCAAUGGCAUCCUGGCCUGGACCAGCAAUGGUGUGGCCAGCAGGAGCAGGGCAGGGAUUGUCCCCUGUACUCAGCACUGAUGAAUGUGAAAGCACAUAGGUUCUCCAGUCAGUGAAAAAAACUGCUUAGACAUGUUCCUUUUCUUAAUAUAUAUUCGCAUUGCAACUAAGCCAGGAAAGGACUACAAAACCACCAUAAACUGCCACAGUCCUUACUGAUGCUGAUUUGAAGUAGAUCGGAGAGCACUUACCUCAAUUCAUCUAUCACAAGAUGAGUAUAAGAAAGGCAAGAGGACAUUAUUUACUACGUGAUUGAUGAACUUACCAGACUUCCUGCAAAAAAGUAAUUUUACUAGUCACCUGUGUCUACCACACCUAUUUUUGCUCGUUGUAGAAGAUUGAGAAAA
Long non-coding RNA from Passer domesticus (house sparrow), 597 nucleotides. RefSeq lists it as uncharacterized. NCBI's taxonomy places the organism in Eukaryota, Metazoa, Chordata, Aves, Passeriformes, Passeridae. The record is from RefSeq and is a predicted model, not a curated record. The transcript is spliced from 3 exons.